RNAcentral lists this RNase P RNA (409 nucleotides) under Dehalococcoidia bacterium. RNAcentral's name for it is "RNase P RNA component class A". It matches the Rfam family "Bacterial RNase P class A". Rfam says of the family: Ribonuclease P (RNase P) is a ubiquitous endoribonuclease, found in archaea, bacteria and eukarya as well as chloroplasts and mitochondria. Its best characterised activity is the generation of mature 5'-ends of tRNAs by cleaving the 5'-leader elements of precursor-tRNAs. Lineage: Bacteria; Bacillati; Chloroflexota; Dehalococcoidia. The record is from RNAcentral.
AGAACGUUCCGGGUGACCGCCGUCUCAUUUAGAGAGGGAGGAAAGUCCGGGCUCCUCCGGACAGAGUGCUGGGUAACACCCAGGCCCUGUUACAGGGGACGGAAAGUGGCACAGAAACGAUACCGCCCAGCUAACCUAUUGGUUCGUUGUGGUAAGGGUGAAAUCGGACGGUAAGAGCGUCCGGUCGUAUGCGGUGACGCAUCGAUGGUCAAACCCCACUUGGAGCAAGGCCGAAUAGGGGGACAAUGGGAGUCCGGCCCGUCCCCGGGUUGGCUGCUUGACCUCAAUGGAGACAUUAGCUCUUAUAGAGCUCAAGGGAUAUUAUCCCAUGGAGGCUAGAUAGAUGGUCACCGGUCUAUGUUACUUGUAUCAUAGACUACAGGACCCGGCUUAUAGGUUCGUUCUGCCC